UUGUCUAAAUUCAUGUUCAUUGUGUUUUACUUUUCAAAGGCUUAAUGGGUGUAACCUCACUGUGAAAUGCUGUGAAGCCUUGGCCUCAGCUUUCAACUCAACCUCAAACCUAAGAGAGCUGGACUUAAGUGACAACAACCUGCAGGAUUCAGGAGUGGAGCUGCUCUGUGCUGUACUGGAGAAUCCACACUGCAAACUGCAGACACUGAGGUUGUCACGCUGUCUGGUCACAAAGAAAGGCUGUGCUUCUCUGGCCUCAGCUCUGAGGUCAAACCCCUCCUACCUGAGAGAGCUGGACCUGAGCUACAAUAUCCCAGGAGAGUCCGGAGCGAAGCAGCUCUCUGUUGGACUGGAGGAUCCACACUAGAGAUUGGAGAAACUCAAUGUGGACCACUGUGGAGAGUACUGGCAGCUGAAAAAAUGUAAUGUUGACUGCUGUGAAGAAAUGUGAAAUGUGUUAUUAGUGAUGAAACAGGAAAUAGCUUAACCUCACUAAGAGUCUUUGUCAAGUUACUCAACUGGUCAAAUUAAAUAUAAGCUACCAUUUUAAGGAAGUAGAAUCAGACACUAUUCCCACUGGGCACUGGGCACAGACAUCAGUUCAACGUCUUGUUUGAUUUAUAUUUGGUUGAGCUACUAACCUGAUUUCAAACUGAAUUCAACAAAAAAUGUCACCCUGUCAUUGGAUUUAGGUUCAAAGUUAGGUGAAAAAAUACAAACUUCCCUUAUGUCGAUGACUUUUUGCAAAUCCUGUGACACUCUGGCUCCAUGGACUUUGAUUAUUGAGCCAGGGUUGUUCAUUUUCAUUUGGGUGUAUUUCUAGGUUGGGUUUUCUAGUUGUUCAGUUCUAUGUUUGGGUGUUUGGUCUUGAUUAGUCAUAUGACUCCCAAUCGGAGGUAACGAGUGUCAGCUGUCGGCUCGUUAUCUCUGAUUG
This is a long non-coding RNA of Coregonus clupeaformis (lake whitefish), 934 nucleotides long. RefSeq lists it as uncharacterized. The transcript has 3 exons. Lineage: Eukaryota; Metazoa; Chordata; Actinopteri; Salmoniformes; Salmonidae. The record is from RefSeq and is a predicted model, not a curated record.